This is a long non-coding RNA of Symphalangus syndactylus (siamang), 166 nucleotides long. RefSeq lists it as uncharacterized. NCBI's taxonomy places the organism in Eukaryota, Metazoa, Chordata, Mammalia, Primates, Hylobatidae. The record is from RefSeq and is a predicted model, not a curated record.
UAGUGCUGCCUCCCAAUUCCGCCAUCAUUUUAGGUGGUUGUGGUUUUCAGCUAAAUAUGAAAAACAAAUUCCAACUGGAAUAGCCUAAACAGUAAUUAAAAUUUACAGUCUCACAUAAUGGAAUGUUGUAAGGUUGACGACUUGCUGAAAUGAAACUAGGAAGGCU